RNAcentral lists this long non-coding RNA (1122 nucleotides) under Oryctolagus cuniculus (rabbit). RNAcentral's name for it is "lncRNA (ENSOCUG00000037449.1)". Lineage: Eukaryota; Metazoa; Chordata; Mammalia; Lagomorpha; Leporidae. The record is from RNAcentral.
AUGGCGUCCAGGAGGAGCAGCCGCGUGGACUCCCCACGCAGUGUCUGCAGAGAGCUGCCCCUCGCGGGUGGUGGUCAGGCCCCCGCCAGUGUCCCAGGCGGCGUCCAGGAGGAGCAGCCGCGUGGACUCCCCACGCAGUGUCUGCAGAGAGCUGCCCCUCGCGGGUGGUGGUCAGGCCCCCGCCAGUGUCCCAGGCGGCGUCCAGGAGGAGCAGCCGCGUGGACUCCCCACGCAGUGUCUGCAGAGAGCUGCCCCUCGCGGGUGGUGGUCAGGCCCCCGCCAGUGUCCCAGGCGGCGUCCAGGAGGAGCAGCCGCGUGGACUCCCCACGCAGUGUCUGCAGAGAGCUGCCCCUCGCGGGUGGUGGUCAGGCCCCCGCCAGUGUCCCAGGCGGCGUCCAGGAGGAGCAGCCGCGUGGACUCCCCACGCAGUGUCUGCAGAGAGCUGCCCCUCGCGGGUGGUGGUCAGGCCCCCGCCAGUGUCCCAGGCGGCGUCCAGGAGGAGCAGCCGCGUGGACUCCCCACGCAGUGUCUGCAGAGAGCUGCCCCUCGCGGGUGGUGGUCAGGCCCCCGCCAGUGUCCCAGGUGGCGUACGGGAGGAGCAGCCGCGUGGACUCCCCACGCAGUGUCUGCAGAGAGCUGCCCCUCGCGGGUGGUGAUCAGGCCCCCCCCACCCCGGUGCCCCAGGCUUCUGGACGGAGCUGCUGGCAGCCAUGCUCCGAGUGCUGGGCUGUGUGGCAGGUUCAGGCCGUUGUCACCCGUCUGUGGUGUCCACUGGCUGGGACACGGCACGCCUUUCUUGGCCGUCAUUGGGGAGGUGAGUGUGGGUGCAGCGCUGCCAGCCCCAGGGGUCGCUUGCUGCUCCACGCCCCUCCCCAGCCUGGUGGGUCAGCCGGUGGUGGUUUCCCGCAUCACCCCGGGAACUGGGCAGGCCAGGGGUGGAGGGAGUGGCCGCAGGCCUCCAGACGAAUGCUCACCAAGUUCACAUGGGUCCCCUCUGCAAGCUGUGCCAGCAGCAGUUUCCCUAAGGCCAUUGCCCAACAGCUCUUAUCAGGGCCAGGCUAUAAAGGGAUGAGAACACAAAUCUCAUUGUGUGUCUCAGGCAGGCUCUGGAUAAGGAAGUGA